Molecule: long non-coding RNA, 815 nt
Filed under: Mus musculus (house mouse)
Lineage: Eukaryota; Metazoa; Chordata; Mammalia; Rodentia; Muridae
Description: predicted gene 45305
Source: RNAcentral
CUUUCUCAUACAGACUUCCAGGCUCCAUACACUCUGACACUGAGUGACAUCGGUACCCUCCGGAACCACCUGCCAUAGGAAGACUAGUGACAUCUCAGAUAUUUAGUUUAACUUUGUUUGUUUGUAGAGUGGGUUUCCCUGUGUAGCCCUUACUGGACUGGAACUCACUUUGUAGACCAGGAAACCAGACUGGCCUUGAUCUCACGGAAACCUGCCUGCCUCUCCCUGCUGGGAUGAAGACAUGUGCUAAGAUGUCAGGAACACAUCUCUUUACCACUCCCCGAGGAUGGUCUUUCAAAUGUUCUUCCAACCUGUUGCUGAACUUAGAACGCUGAGACCCAGCAUCCUUUGCGGCACAGUCCAUGGCUAUGAUUAGACCCCAAACAUCUAUAUCCCGGAUGUCCACACUAAUAGGACAAGGCUGAAAACAAGUGCCCUCACCAAUCUCUCUUCUUUCCUCUUCCUCCUCUUCCCUUUACCCCUCUCUCUGAGAUAGAGUUUACUAUAGAGACCAGGCUGGUCUCAAACUCAGAGAGAUUUACCACCUCUGGGAGCUUCCGGAGUGCUGGGAUCAAAGACCUGAGCCACCAUUCCUGGCUAACUUCAUUCUGAAUUGGGAGCAUUUCUGGAAGGAUGCAUGAUCUCAGAACACAGGCAGCAGCAUGUGGCUGCAAUGUUAGUGUCUAUACCAUCGGGUGACACUCCAGAUGGUGAGGCAACCCUCGUGCUUCAUCGCAGAUUAAAUCUAAAAUGCUUCUGGUCGCAACAUUUCCUAACACUGGAAUCCAAAUUUGAGUAAACAUUAUGUUAGAAAG